AGUGAACGCUGGCGGUAGGCCUAACACAUGCAAGUCGAACGGCAGCACAGUAAGAGCUUGCUCUUACGGGUGGCGAGUGGCGGACGGGUGAGGAAUACAUCGGAAUCUACUUUUUCGUGGGGGAUAACGUAGGGAAACUUACGCUAAUACCGCAUACGACCUACGGGUGAAAGCAGGGGAUCUUCGGACCUUGCGCGAUUGAAUGAGCCGAUGUCGGAUUAGCUAGUUGGCGGGGUAAAGGCCCACCAAGGCGACGAUCCGUAGCUGGUCUGAGAGGAUGAUCAGCCACACUGGAACGGAGACACGGUCCAGACUCCUACGGGAGGCGGCAGUGGGGAAUAUUGGACAAUGGGCGCAAGCCUGAUCCAGCCAUACCGCGUGGGUGAAGAAGGCCUUCGGGUUGUAAAGCCCUCUUGUUGGGAAAGAAAAGCAGCAGGUUAAUACCCCGCUGUUCUGACGGUACCCAAAGAAUAAGCACCGGCUAACUUCGUG
Molecule: ribosomal RNA, 492 nt
Filed under: uncultured bacterium
Lineage: Bacteria
Description: partial 16S ribosomal RNA
Rfam family: Bacterial small subunit ribosomal RNA
Source: RNAcentral